CUGCCAGAAUUCCAUAUGCUUGUCCCCACGAUUAAGCCAUGCAUGCCUACGAAAAUUCAGCCGACCGACUGUGUGGUCCGUGUCCCGUGAGGGAGGGAUUCACCGACUGGGAGGCCGAUGACUCAGCGAACGGCUCCGUAUAUCUGUUGUUACCUGUCGUGGCAAAUUUGGCGUGGAUAACCACGGAAAAUCUGUGGGUAAAACAGCCAAAUGGGGCACAGUGCCUGGCGGCUUAGUAAGCCGUUCGGGCUUAAGCGGCCCCAUGACCCUAAAGGCAUGGGGCCCGCCUCGCAAAUCGCUCCCAAAGUAGCGGCCUCCCGGCUUAACUGGGGCUCAAAGGCCGUGAAACGGAGGCCUCUGCGGCCCGGAGUGCCCCCCAGCUGAUUUUUUCGGCCAGGUGCCCGGGCGUUUAUGCAGAGACUAACCGAAAGCGCACGAUGGGCUUCAGACCUAUCAGCUAGUUGGUAGGGUAUUGGCCUACCAAGGCGAUGACGGGUACAGAGGAUUAGGGUUUGAUCCUGGAGAGGUAGCCUGAGAAAUCGCUCCCACUUCUAAGGAAGGCAGCAGGCGCGGAACGUUCCCAAUGCCGGCCGGCCGGUGAGGACGCGAUGGGAUAUAACAAUGCCCCCAAAAAAAUUUGGCGGGUAAUUGCCAAUGGCCCGGGCAUAAAUC
This 672-nucleotide ribosomal RNA is filed under the name Lycogala sp. Its description in RNAcentral is "partial small subunit ribosomal RNA". It matches the Rfam family "Eukaryotic small subunit ribosomal RNA", at positions 14 to 531 of the family's 1831-position model. Lineage: Eukaryota; Evosea; Eumycetozoa; Liceales; Enteridiidae. The record is from RNAcentral.